GCGACCCCAGGUCAGGCGUGGCCACCCGCUGAAUUUAA
This 38-nucleotide ribosomal RNA is filed under the name Litsea cubeba (aromatic litsea). Its description in RNAcentral is "partial 26S ribosomal RNA". The record is from RNAcentral. Lineage: Eukaryota; Viridiplantae; Streptophyta; Magnoliopsida; Laurales; Lauraceae.